This is a non-coding RNA of Ceratotherium simum simum (southern white rhinoceros), 119 nucleotides long. The record is from RefSeq and is a predicted model, not a curated record. NCBI's taxonomy places the organism in Eukaryota, Metazoa, Chordata, Mammalia, Perissodactyla, Rhinocerotidae.
CUUUCCUUGUUUUUCAUGACCUUGACAGUUGUGAGGAGUACUGGUCAGAUGUUUUGUAGACUGUCCUUCACUUUGGGUUUCUCUGAUGUUUUCUUCUUGGCUGAACUGGGGCCAUGGAG